GUGCUUAACACAUGCAAGUCGGACGAUGAAGCCCUUCGGGGUGGAUUAGUGGCGAACGGGUGAGUAACACGUGAGCAACCUGCCCUUGACUCUGGGAUAAGCCUGGGAAACUGGGUCUAAUACCGGAUAUUCGGUUCCUGCCGCAUGGUGGGGGCUGGAAAGCCUUGUGCGGUCUUGGAUGGGCUCGCGGCCUAUCAGCUUGUUGGUGGGGUGAUGGCCUACCAAGGCGACGACGGGUAGCCGGCCUGAGAGGGUGACCGGCCACACUGGGACUGAGACACGGCCCAGACUCCUACGGGAGGCAGCAGUGGGGAAUA
RNAcentral lists this ribosomal RNA (317 nucleotides) under uncultured Sinomonas sp. Its description in RNAcentral is "bacterial SSU rRNA". It matches the Rfam family "Bacterial small subunit ribosomal RNA", at positions 44 to 363 of the family's 1533-position model. The record is from RNAcentral. Lineage: Bacteria; Bacillati; Actinomycetota; Actinomycetes; Micrococcales; Micrococcaceae.